UACGGAGGGUGCAAGCGUUAAUCGGAAUUACUGGGCGUAAAGGGCGCGUAGGCGGUUAUUUAAGUCAGAUGUGAAAGCCCCGGGCUCAACCUGGGAACUGCAUUUGAUACUGGGUAACUUUGAAUGUGGUAGAGGGUGGCGGAAUUUCUGGUGUAGCGGUGAAAUGCGUAGAUAUCAGAAGGAACAUCAAUGGCGAAGGCAGCCACCUGGGCCAACAUUGACGCUGAGGCGCGAAAGCGUGGGGAGCAAACAGG
This 254-nucleotide ribosomal RNA is filed under the name uncultured bacterium. Its description in RNAcentral is "partial 16S ribosomal RNA". It matches the Rfam family "Bacterial small subunit ribosomal RNA", at positions 524 to 776 of the family's 1533-position model. The record is from RNAcentral.